GACGAACCGUGCGAACGUUGUUCGGAAUCACUGGGCUUAAAGGGCGCGUAGGCGGCCUGUUAAGUCGAACGUGAAAUCCCCGGGCUCAACCCGGGAACUGCGUCCGAUACUGGCAGGCUUGAAUCCGGGAGAGGGAUGCGGAAUUCCAGGUGUAGCGGUGAAAUGCGUAGAUAUCUGGAGGAACACCGGUGGCGAAGGCGGCAUCCUGGACCGGCAUUGACGCUGAGGCGCGAAAGCCAGGGGAGCAAACGGG
RNAcentral lists this ribosomal RNA (253 nucleotides) under uncultured bacterium. Its description in RNAcentral is "partial 16S ribosomal RNA". It matches the Rfam family "Bacterial small subunit ribosomal RNA", at positions 524 to 776 of the family's 1533-position model. The record is from RNAcentral.